This 429-nucleotide ribosomal RNA is filed under the name Chloroflexota bacterium. RNAcentral describes it as "Chloroflexi bacterium partial 16S ribosomal RNA". It matches the Rfam family "Bacterial small subunit ribosomal RNA", at positions 355 to 776 of the family's 1533-position model. The record is from RNAcentral. Lineage: Bacteria; Bacillati; Chloroflexota.
UGGGGAAUAUUGCACAAUGGGCGCAAGCCUGAUGCAGCCAUGACGCGUGUAUGAAGAAGGCCUUCGGGUUGUAAAGUACUUUCAGUCGGGAGGAAGGUGGUAAGGUUAAUAACCUUGGCAAUUGACGUUACCGACAGAAGAAGCACCGGCUAACUCCGUGCCAGCAGCCGCGGUAAUACGGAGGGUGCAAGCGUUAAUCGGAAUUACUGGGCGUAAAGCGCACGCAGGCGGUUGAUUGAGUCAGAUGUGAAAUCCCCGGGCUUAACCCGGGAAUUGCAUCUGAUACUGGUCAGCUAGAGUCUUGUAGAGGGGGGUAGAAUUCCAUGUGUAGCGGUGAAAUGCGUAGAGAUGUGGAGGAAUACCGGUGGCGAAGGCGGCCCCCUGGACAAAGACUGACGCUCAGGUGCGAAAGCGUGGGGAGCAAACAGG